RNAcentral lists this transfer RNA (62 nucleotides) under Staphylinoidea sp. 12 KM-2017. RNAcentral describes it as "tRNA-Leu". Lineage: Eukaryota; Metazoa; Arthropoda; Insecta; Coleoptera. The record is from RNAcentral.
UCUAAUAUGGCAGAUUAGUGCAAUGGAUUUAAACCCCAUUUAUGAAGUUUCUUCUUUUAGAA